RNAcentral lists this ribosomal RNA (250 nucleotides) under uncultured bacterium. Its description in RNAcentral is "partial 16S ribosomal RNA". It matches the Rfam family "Bacterial small subunit ribosomal RNA", at positions 57 to 305 of the family's 1533-position model. The record is from RNAcentral.
GCAAGUCGAGCGGAAACGAGAAUAGCUUGCUAUUCGGCGUCGAGCGGCGGACGGGUGAGUAAUGCUUGGGAAUAUGCCUUAUGGUGGGGGACAACAGUUGGAAACGACUGCUAAUACCGCAUAACGUCUACGGACCAAAGGGGGGGAUCUUCGGACCUCUCGCGUCAAGAUUAGCCCAGGUGGGAUUAGCUAGUUGGUGGGGUAAUGGCUCACCAAGGCGACGAUCCCUAGCUGGUUUGAGAGGAUGAUC